Molecule: ribosomal RNA, 196 nt
Filed under: uncultured bacterium
Lineage: Bacteria
Description: partial 16S ribosomal RNA
Rfam family: Bacterial small subunit ribosomal RNA
Source: RNAcentral
CUGCAACUCGCCUGCAUGAAGUCGGAAUUGCUAGUAAUCGUAGGUCAGCAUACUACGGUGAAUACGUUCCCGGGCCUUGUACACACCGCCCGUCAAACCAUGAGAGUUGGCAACACCCGAAGUCGGUAGUCUAACCGCAAGGAGGACGCCGCCGAAGGUGGGGUUGAUGAUUAGGGUUAAGUCGUAACAAGGUAUC